GACGAACGCUGGCGGCGUGCUUAACACAUGCAAGUCGAACGGAAAGGCCCUGCUUUUGUGGGGUGCUCGAGUGGCGAACGGGUGAGUAACACGUGAGUAACCUGCCCUUGACUUUGGGAUAACUUCAGGAAACUGGGGCUAAUACCGGAUAGGAGCUCCUGCUGCAUGGUGGGGGUUGGAAAGUUUCGGCGGGUGGGGAUGGACUCGGGGCUUAUCAGCUUGUUGGUGGGGUAGUGGCUUACCAAGGCUUUGACGGGUGGCGGGCCUGAGAGGGUGACCGGCCACAUUGGGACGGAGAUACGGCGCGGACUCCUACGGGAGGCAGCAGUGGGGAAUAUUGCACAAUGGGCGGAAGCCUGAUGCAGCAACGCCGGGUGCGGGGUGAGGGCCUUCGGGUUGUAAACCGCUUUCGCCUGUGACGAAGCGUGAGUGACGGUAAUGGGUAGAGAAGCACCGGCUAACUACGUG
RNAcentral lists this ribosomal RNA (468 nucleotides) under uncultured bacterium. Its description in RNAcentral is "partial 16S ribosomal RNA". It matches the Rfam family "Bacterial small subunit ribosomal RNA", at positions 28 to 507 of the family's 1533-position model. The record is from RNAcentral.